UCCCAGACUCCUACGGGAGGCAGCAGUGGGGAAUAUUGGGCAAUGGGCGCAAGCCUGACCCAGCAACGCCGCGUGAAGGAAGAAGGCUUUCGGGUUGUAAACUUCUUUUAAGAGGGAAGAGAAGAAGACGGUACCUCUUGAAUAAGCCACGGCUAACUACGUGCCAGCAGCCGCGGUAAUACGUAGGUGGCAAGCGUUGUCCGGAUUUACUGGGUGUAAAGGGCGUGCAGCCGGGCUGACAAGUCAGAUGUGAAAUCCCGCGGCUCAACCGCGGAACUGCAUUUGAAACUGUCAGUCUUGAGUACCGGAGAGGUCAUCGGAAUUCCUUGUGUAGCGGUGAAAUGCAUAGAUAUCACGCAGAACCCCGAUUGCGAAGGCAGCCUUCCGGCGCCCUACUGACGCUGAGGCACGAAAGUGCGGGGAUCGAACAGGAUUAGAUACCCCCGUAGA
RNAcentral lists this ribosomal RNA (450 nucleotides) under uncultured bacterium. RNAcentral's name for it is "partial 16S ribosomal RNA". It matches the Rfam family "Bacterial small subunit ribosomal RNA", at positions 329 to 794 of the family's 1533-position model. The record is from RNAcentral.